RNAcentral lists this ribosomal RNA (433 nucleotides) under uncultured bacterium. RNAcentral describes it as "partial 16S ribosomal RNA". It matches the Rfam family "Bacterial small subunit ribosomal RNA", at positions 29 to 507 of the family's 1533-position model. The record is from RNAcentral.
AACGAACGCUGGCGGCAUGCCUAACACAUGCAAGUCGAACGAAACCUCCGGGUCUAGUGGCGCACGGGUGUGUAAGGCGUGGGAACCUUCCCUUAUGGUUGGAAUAACUCUCCGAAAGGGGUGCUAAUACCGGAUAAUGUCUUCGGACCAAAGAUUUCUCGCCUUUGGAUGGUCCCGCGUUGAAUUAGCUAGUUGGUAGGGUAAUAGCCUCCUAAGGCGACGAUCCAUAGCUGGUCUGAGAGGAGGAUUAGCAACACUGAGACGGAGACACGGCCGAGACUCCUACGCGAAGCAGCAGUGGGGAAUAUUGGACAGUGGCCGAAAGCAUGAUCCAGCACUGCCGCGUGAGUGAUGAAGGCAUUAGGGUUGUAAAGCUCUUUUAACCGGGAUGAUAAUGACGGUACCGGGAGAAUAAGCUCCGGCUAACUCCGUG